AAAUUGAAGAGUUUGAUCAUGGCUCAGAUUGAACGCUGGCGGCAGGCCUAACACAUGCAAGUCGAACGGUAGCACAGAGAGCUUGCUCUCGGGUGACGAGUGGCGGACGGGUGAGUAAUGUCUGGGAAACUGCCUGAUGGAGGGGGAUAACUACUGGAAACGGUGGCUAAUACCGCAUAACGUCGCAAGACCAAAGAGGGGGACCUUCGGGCCUCUUGCCAUCAG
Molecule: ribosomal RNA, 225 nt
Filed under: Salmonella enterica subsp. enterica serovar Infantis
Lineage: Bacteria; Pseudomonadati; Pseudomonadota; Gammaproteobacteria; Enterobacterales; Enterobacteriaceae
Also listed under: 2 other names
Description: partial 16S ribosomal RNA
Rfam family: Bacterial small subunit ribosomal RNA
Source: RNAcentral